RNAcentral lists this transfer RNA (87 nucleotides) under Candidatus Acetothermia bacterium. RNAcentral describes it as "tRNA-Ser". It matches the Rfam family "tRNA". From Rfam's summary of the family: Transfer RNA (tRNA) molecules are approximately 80 nucleotides in length. Their secondary structure includes four short double-helical elements and three loops (D, anti-codon, and T loops). Lineage: Bacteria; Candidatus Bipolaricaulota. The record is from RNAcentral.
GGAGGGAUGACCGAAUGGCAAGGAGCCGGUCUCGAAAACCGGUACGCCCGCAAGGGUUUCGGGGUUCGAAUCCCCGUCCCUCCGCCA